Molecule: long non-coding RNA, 2864 nt
Filed under: Theobroma cacao (cacao)
Lineage: Eukaryota; Viridiplantae; Streptophyta; Magnoliopsida; Malvales; Malvaceae
Description: long non-coding RNA (TCAC_LNC000064)
Source: RNAcentral
CAAAUUUCUUUCCUUCACUGUCAGAUUGUUCUGCAAGUAGUUGAUGUUUGGGAGAACGAAAAAGAUGCAAUUAUGACUUUUUAAGGUAUCUAAAGCUUUUGUCUAAACUGAUUUGUGAAACUUAAAGCUUCUGGUUAGCUUGUAUGUUCUCUUUUCAAGUCAAAUGGCUAGCUAGGAAAUUUUGAGAAUAAAGAUGUGAUCCAGGUAAUAUGAAGGCUGGCAAUGUGAUCUAGAAACCAUUGAAUGUUUUAGGCUUUUAGCUACUUUAACAAAAGAAAGUAAGACUCUCUCUUUCGUAUGGCAAAUUAAGGUAUAACAACUUUACUCACCAAACAUUUCUUUAUGUCCAAUUCCAAACUUUGUAGGGCAGACCAUUCAAUCAGUGGGGGAGGCGGUUUUUAAUUUUUUUAUUCAAAUCAAAUGAUUUGGCUUGGCAUAAUGGUAAGUCAUUUAAAUUAAAUUUUAGAGAUUUAGAUUCAAUUCCUUCUAGACCCAAAUUAUGCAUUGCUUAGCUCCUUAAAUUUAAAAUUAUUUCUUUUAUCCUUAUGAAGUAAACUCAAAUUUAUGCAUUGCUUAACUGCUUAAAUUUAAAAUUAUUUUUCUUUUAUCCUUAUAGAGUAAAUCAAAAUUUUGAAAUUAUUUUUCUUUUUUUGUCAUAGAGAAAACCGAAUUUCCUUAAUAAAAGAUACAUUGCUUAAUUACCUAACGAGUAUAAUUUUUUAUUUUGAUUUUUUUUACAAUCUGUUGAUUCAAUUUGACCAUUUAUGUAAUAUGUAUUUUUUCAAAAAAUACUUCAUUUUUUUAAGCGUUUCCUUAGUAAAAGAUACAUUGCUUAAUUGCUUAACAAGUAUAAUUUUUUAUUUUGGUUUUUCUUACAAUCUAUUGAUUGAUUUGAGCAUUUAUACAAUAUGUACUUUUCUUAAAAACUAUUUAUUUUUUUAAGCAUAACAUAAUUAAAAUAUUUUGUACUAUCGUAUAUAAUAUAUUAUGGUCCUAUGGAGUAAAAGAUGGAUUGCUUAAUUGCCUAAAGAGUAUAAUUUUUUACUUUGAUUUUUUUUACAAUCUGUUAAUUCGAUUUGAGCACUUAUGUAAAAUAUAAUUAAAACAUUUGAAUGAAUAACUUUCGAAAAAGGAAUGUAAUUAAAAUAUUUAAAAAAUUUCAAUAAUCUUACCUUACUUUUUCAAAGUAAAUAAGUACAAAAUGAUUACUAGAACCAUUGACAUGAAUUUAAUUAUCGAUAAAUUUGAAAGUAUGAAAGCAGUUAAACACAACUUAAAAUGCAUAAUGUGAAAAUUUAAUUUUUUUUGUUUGUUUUAUAUCUAUUUAUAUUAAUAAAUUUGAAAAACUAUAUUCAAAUUGUAAAUAAAAUUUUAAAUUAUAAUUUAAUUUUAUUUAAAAAAAUAAUUAAUUUUUUAUUCUGCAUCGAAUCAUUAAUCUGAUCUUUGAUCUUGUAUGAUUACUUUUCAGUCCCUCUUCAUGUAAAAUGUUAAAUUCAUCACUACAUUUAAUGUGGUCUGACUAUUUUCCAGAACAUUUUGAGUCCGUGGUGCUACUUCUGCUGCCCACACCGGCUUUCUGGUUUCAAGGGGUUUUAGCUAAUUGCCCCAACUGCAACCCAAAUACAUUUAAGAAGUGUUGAAUCCAGUUUGUUAUCAGAUAGAGAGGGAUUCCAAACAAAUAGGCCGAAGCCUAUCUUAUCUGAAAAGAUAGAAAUAUGGACUACGUUGUUGUUCUACUAGAAUUAUUAAUUGUUUUCACACCAUUAAUGGCUUAAACACCAUAAUCACUCAAUGAUAUAGAUAUCCUUCAAUCUAGCUUUUGAGGUGUAAUCCAUGAAUAGGUACAUCAAAUCUAAAAAAAGGAUUUAGGCACCAUAUAAUCGGCAAAUUGAAAAUGCCCAACACGGAAACAAUUGUAAGAACGAUGUCCUGCCAACCGGAUGUAAAGACACCAUUGGACAUUGAUUUUCCUCGUUCACACCAUCUUCUCUCUUGGUCCAAUUCAUGAAUACCUUUUUCUGAAGGUUGGACCUUGCAUUUCUUUUUUUUUUUUCACCUACUUUUUUGUGAAGAGAGGGACAUUAUUGGACGGUUGUGACUAUUUCUAGCUUGGUUAUGCGAUGGGAAAUCACGUCAAGCUUGGGGCCUGCUUUGAAUUUGAACACUGUUUGCUUGCUCCGGCAAAGAAGGCAAAAUUAAUAUAGCUUCUUGUUAGCGUCUCCCUAGCUUAUCUCAUCUAGUCAUAACACAACGCUGCCUCGAGUUUUUCCUAUGGAAAAGGGAAAGUUUAGUAAAAGGUAAAUCGCAGCCAAGUGAAGAACCACAUUGCAUCUAAUAAUGCCAUCUUUUGCUUGGAGAAUAUUAAGAAAGAAAAAGAAUAGAGCGAAUCUUGUUUUAACUUACUUUAUAGUUCCAUUAUGGGGCUUCACGAUAAGUAUCAUGUUUAAUUUGAUUAGAGAUAAAAUGCUCACAGAAGGAAGAGAUUCCCUUGCUCUGCUUUGUAGCAUGAAAAUCGUAUUUUGAGUUAAAAGUUCAAGGGAAAGUCAGAGGCAAGAACCUUCAACUCCAAAUCCCAAUCAAAAGCUUCAAAAUCCCCAUUUACCCAUCAAAGAACAGAACAAGAUUGAAACAUAUACAUUUCUUGAAAAUCAUGUUAAGAAAGACAUUGGAUUUGCUGGCACGCUAUCCUUCAGUCCAAACAUCAUUAAUCAAGUACAUGAACAACCUCUAGCUCUAUCAACAAUUAAUACAGUACAUAACAUGUGAAGUCUCAAACACCAGCCAAAACCAGAUGUGCUAUGGUAAGGAUCGGCAAAAAAUAAAGAAACAUCCAAUAUCCAUCUGCAGAUUCCUUACAAUUUCAU